This is a non-coding RNA of Vicugna pacos (alpaca), 824 nucleotides long. The record is from RefSeq and is a predicted model, not a curated record. NCBI's taxonomy places the organism in Eukaryota, Metazoa, Chordata, Mammalia, Artiodactyla, Camelidae.
AGCCACGUCGGCGAGGGGUUGGCGCGUCUCCCAAAGAGCGGGGCGGGGCGGGGCGGGAGCCUUCGGGUUUCCGCGAGCUCAGCUGACCCAGUUGUGGCUGGGCGGUGAAGUUUUAACAGAACUGGGUUUUCAUGACAGCUCUCAAGUUGCACAGGGUGUCCUAGGCCCUCCCGAAACCUGAGGAGAUCAGAAGCGGAGACAAUUCAAGAGCGUGGGAAGUCUGAGAUCAAGGUGGCAGCAGACUUGGUGUCUGAAUCUCAGAGGCUUCUGGGACUGGAGUCUUGUCAUGCCUCCGCCUAACACCAACUCUAUAGAAAUAUGAUUUCAUUACCACAACUAAGUGGCCUCAUAUCAGGUGGGAGAAAGACCAGCUAGACCAGAGAAAGCUGCCUGACCCCCUUGAGGCCAUCACUGAAGACUGGAACUCACAAACCUGUGCUCCCCUGGUAUGUGAAACGUCGUGAGCCUAAGAACCAGGCUACCCCACGGCUGAGGUCCUGCAGACUAUCUGGUGGGGCUGGACCAGGCGUCAGUAAAUAAAGUAGCCUUCCUUUUCUCCGACAAGCCCAGCCGCCCUGCCUGCUAAUUGUGGAGCAAACAGAAAAUGUCAACUAGUUAACUUGAAACAUAUGUCACUUUAUUUGGCCAAUUGUUUGGUUUAAUUAACAGACACGCUUCCGGACACAUUUGUCUCAUUUAUUUUCAGUCUAACAUUGAAUCUUAAUUCAGUCCUUUUAAACGAUGACAAAGGAAUGCCUUUGCAAUUUGCCUGUUUUCCUAAAAAUCUUUCUAUUACUAUAAAUAAAUAUAUUUAUAUCUAUAAA